UCUCGAAUAGCUCAGUUGGUUAGAGCGCCGUGCUAAUAACGCGGAGGCCCUGGGUUCGACCCCCAGUUUGAGAA
Enterocytozoon bieneusi H348 is the source of this 74-nucleotide transfer RNA. It matches the Rfam family "tRNA". Rfam says of the family: Transfer RNA (tRNA) molecules are approximately 80 nucleotides in length. Their secondary structure includes four short double-helical elements and three loops (D, anti-codon, and T loops). The record is from Rfam. NCBI's taxonomy places the organism in Eukaryota, Fungi, Microsporidia, Enterocytozoonidae.